AGAGUUUGAUCCUGGCUCAGGACGAACGCUGGCGGCGUGCUUAACACAUGCAAGUCGAACGAUGAACCACUUCGGUGGGGAUUAGUGGCGAACGGGUGAGUAACACGUGGGCAAUCUGCCCUGCACUCUGGGACAAGCCCUGGAAACGGGGUCUAAUACCGGAUACUGACCCGCCUGGGCAUCCAGGCGGUUCGAAAGCUCCGGCGGUGCAGGAUGAGCCCGCGGCCUAUCAGCUUGUUGGUGAGGUAAUGGCUCACCAAGGCGACGACGGGUAGCCGGCCUGAGAGGGCGACCGGCCACACUGGGACUGAGACACGGCCCAGACUCCUACGGGAGGCAGCAGUGGGGAAUAUUGCACAAUGGGCGCAAGCCUGAUGCAGCGACGCCGCGUGAGGGAUGACGGCCUUCGGGUUGUAAACCUCUUUCAGCAGGGAAGAAGCGAAAGUGACGGUACCUGCAGAAGAAGCGCCGGCUAACUACGUGCCAGCAGCCGCGGUAAUACGUAGGGCGCGAGCGUUGUCCGGAAUUAUUGGGCGUAAAGAGCUCGUAGGCGGUUUGUCGCGUCGGAUGUGAAAGCCCGGGGCUUAACCCCGGGUCUGCAUUCGAUACGGGCAGACUAGAGUUCGGUAGGGGAGAUCGGAAUUCCUGGUGUAGCGGUGAAAUGCGCAGAUAUCAGGAGGAACACCGGUGGCGAAGGCGGAUCUCUGGGCCAUUACUGACGCUGAGGAGCGAAAGCGUGGGGAGCGAACAGGAUUAGAUACCCUGGUAGUCCACGCCGUAAACGGUGGGCACUAGGUGUGGGCGACAUUCCACGUCGUCGGUGCCGCAGCUAACGCAUUAAGUGCC
This 846-nucleotide ribosomal RNA is filed under the name Streptomyces griseoflavus. RNAcentral describes it as "bacterial SSU rRNA". It matches the Rfam family "Bacterial small subunit ribosomal RNA", at positions 8 to 868 of the family's 1533-position model. Lineage: Bacteria; Bacillati; Actinomycetota; Actinomycetes; Kitasatosporales; Streptomycetaceae. The record is from RNAcentral.